Molecule: long non-coding RNA, 9176 nt
Organism: Betta splendens (Siamese fighting fish)
Lineage: Eukaryota; Metazoa; Chordata; Actinopteri; Anabantiformes; Osphronemidae
Exons: 14
Source: RefSeq, a predicted model, not a curated record
AGCUGAUGGUAUAAUGAGUCGCCAGAGGACAUGUUUUUAAUAAUCUUAGUUUGUAACAAAGAUGCUGCCAAGUCACAGUCACAUUAUGAGUCUUGCGCAGCCACUUUAAGUGGACAGAUAAUUCACACCGGCCUCAAGGAGGAAGUGCUCUUCCUUCCACAAAAAUCAUCUGAGUAAACUGAUGAUUUCAUAUCACCCAUCAGUAUUAAUCAAUGUCAUGAAAUGUUAGCGUUGUUCUGUCAGAUUAAAAGUUUCUAUUUCUUUUCAAUAUGUCAGUGACAAACACUGAGCAUGACAUUUUCCCUUUAAUCCAUACCCACACACACAACAAUGUGUAUAUACUGUACCACCAAAAACAGGCAGAAAUCGGUUUAAUACUACUAGUACUACUACGACUACUAUUACUACUACUACUACUGCUACUACUACUACUACUACUAAUAAUAAUAAUAAUAAUAAUAGUAAUAAUACAUAAUAUGCUAUCCAGUCACAUCCUUUCCUGUUUUCUGCAGAUAAAUAAUUAAAUAAAAAAAUAAAAAAUAGGGGAUUUAGGUGAACAGCUUAAAUAGAUUUUACAGCGACACAAUGUUUUAUAUAAAAGGAAAAUAGUAACAAGCAAAUAAAAUAAAUAAAUAAAUUGUUUGGCUGUGUUAAAUCAGUGUAUUUAUAUUAUGCGUCACACACAGUAAAUACGUAAAAUCCCUGACGGGAAACGUUUACGUUUUGCAUUACCGAUCAAAACGCAGCGCACCAACUCAAUGCAGCUCACUUGUCCGAGGUUAAUUAAAUCAGCGCAGCCAACAGGUGCAUGCUGGGCGCAAGCUAGUCGCCCAUGGCUAACCCUACUGUGGGUAGCUAGCUAGGUAGCUAGCCAGGUAGCUAGCUAGUGCCCUGGUCAGCCUUUAAAUGUUUGUUUUUUAUUACAACUGGGCAGCGUCAUGAUGCACCUUGGGAUCAAAAUCGUUGUUGUACCCCCAGUUUUGGUUCUACCCCUGUUAGCAUCUAUUGCCCAGGAUGCCAGCCUUCUCUCCCACACCUCAGCCGUUCCUUAGUUGAGGUGUAUGAUGCUAAACGAGUUCCUCGUUACCUCCCUCCCUCCUUCCAGUGGUCGAUGCCCAUCCUUGGUUAUAUGCGCGAUGCCAGCAGACCUCAUGGAAACCACAGGAAUGUUCCUCCAAACCCACAGACUGCUCCGAACUGCAACCCAGACUAGUUGCGGGAUGAGACCAUCCACAGCCUCCAACCAAAUGUGCUGCUUUCUCAUCAGGCCCAUGCCUCCCAGACCACGCAGGAAUAACCGUCAGACUUGAACUUGUUCCAAGAGGCUGAAAAAUGGACGUGGAGAUGACGUCGGUGCUUUCAACAGAAGGAACGAAGAGAAAUGUCUUUUUUGCUCUUGGUUUUUGUCCCUUUGAUGGAGUGUUUUCCAGCCCGUAGGCAGAUCGGGAGGAUGUGGUUUGUCCUGCUUCUUUCUCGGGUCACCAUGUUGUCGGGUUCUGAGUCCCUCUGCAUCGAUGGCACUGCAGCAGCAUCGUGCGCACUGGACUGAAGACUCUGUCCAAGUGAACCGAGGGAGCAAGGACUGUUGGCCUGUAGGAGAGCCAACUAGAUCUCUGGACCUUACCUGGAGGCCUUAGGCUCAGAGGAUUGUGUUUCUUGUAACAAAUCCUUUGGAAAUGUGUCUUUUCUUUUUGUUUCCCUGAGUCCAUUGAGUGAUUGAGUUAUUUUGCUGAUGACAUGUGACAUACACUGUAGACCAACAUAACACAGGGAUGCUGUAUGAAAUAUGUAUAGAAGGCAUAUUAGGUACCAGGCAGGUAUAAAAUAUUCAAACAUUAUAGCAUGUGUUAUAAACUGUGAUCACAUUAGGCUUAUAAAUACUGUAUCUAUCCCAUUGACCGCAACGCUGACACAUGGGCAGUCUUAUUUUUAUGAUUUCAGUUCAUAUAAACUAAUCACAAAUGGGAUUAUUCAGGUGAUUAAUUUUAUUUCUUUAUUUUAUUAGUGUUAAAGGCAAAAAUAAUUUGCCCCCACAUGAAGACACCUGAACAACAACUGAUUUGCUGUAGAACCUAGACCAUUCAGCCAAUGAAGCGUUUAAUAAAUUGAUGCAGCUCAGCCAUACAAUUGUACUGUGAUCAAGCCUUUGCUUAAGAACCUGUAGAGGUGCCUGCAAUCAAGGUGGCAAUCUACUAAAGAGGUGUGGUGAAAAUCAGGACGUAAUAUAAGUUUUAGUUUAUUAUUGUAUAGGCUGAGUGCGGUGUUGACAGUUUCAACUGCCUAGAUACUAAACACUCUAUGAACUAUUAAAUGUUUUCUAUUUUUAUUUUUCUAUUAUAUUUAUUUUUGUCUUUUUGGUCUACUUGUUGACUUUGCUUUUUUGCCAUUUUCUACAGUGUAACUUUUAACUACUUUUGCCCCUAAACUGCUUGAUGCUUCACUGUCUAGUCCAGAGGGGCUGUCUCCCAUCUGAUUCAUCACUUUCUCUGAUUAUAAUCUCUGUGCAGCCAAACACACACAAUAUGUGCGAGAGCAAUCCCAAAAGCAAAGUUUGCUAUUUUUUUAGAAAUACAAACAACCAUUUAUUUUCCAAAAUAUUUACAUAAUUUUAAAGGUUGAAUUACUAUAAAUUUUUUUGACAUAGUCGCCAUUUCGGUGGAUUCAUUUUUGUAGACGCUGUGGCUGUUUUAGAAUGUCAUACUAGCUUUCCACCACUAGGAAGUGUUUGGACAGUCGUCAAAAACGUUUGCAAGUGGUGUAGAAAGUUUACAGCUGGACAUGCUGAAAAUCACAACAAAGAAACGGACGACUGUCCAUUUCCGAGACAGUUGCAAAAGUUGAGGAAAACAUGCAUGAUGAUCAGACGAUCACUCUCUGCAUUUUGGCAGCGACCCAUUUUCAACCUUUAAAACGAUGUCAAUUUUAUAUUGCACAUAAAUGGUCAUUUGUAAUUGUAAAAAAAAGACCUUACUUUUGGAAUUGCCAAUGUAUAUUUGAUAAUACACAGUCUGUGUGUAUUUAGUGAACACUUCCAUACAAUUUUGUGUGAACAUGCUGUAAGGGCCUUGUUAAUUGAAUAAACUAAUGUUUGUAGUUCAGGGUGAACUCUGGCAUCAUUACCUGCACUAUGGCAGUUUUUAGCCACUCAUUGCACGCAUAAGAUGUCCAGGAACAGUAGGUUGGCACUUACUUACUAUAAAGAAGAAUAAAACAAUGCAUCUUUCAGACAUUAGUUUUAUGGCAGGGAUUGGAUGUCUGAAAAACGUCAACAACUGGAUAUGCAGAACUAGACCUACUCAGUUGUGUGAGCAGUACACCUGAUUUUCUUAGCAGAAGGCCAGCUUUUUGUUUCUCACAUUUAUAGUUUACAGUAUAUUUUAAGCAGAACUCAUCAGCCGCUGGCUAAAACUUUACAGCAUAUGUAGAGUAUCAGUUUUAGAUAUUCAAUCUUUUUUCACAGCAAGGAAGUGAACUUCCAUAUUGCCCAAAUGUUUCUUCCUGUAUCUGGCUGCUUAUAAAGAUGAAGGCUAAGUUGGCCCUUAGACCUACAGUACUUUUGUGCUAGAAUAGAAAAAAGUGUGUACUCCACUCUCGCAUCAUGUCAACAAAAGAUGUAUUACUAACCAAAACUAAAAAAGCGGCGUUAGAUAUAUUGCCCAUACUAAAUAUUGUGUGCAAUAUUGUGAAAGAAAUGAUCAAAAUGCUUCAUGUCAGUGGGGUUAGAUUCGGCAGUGAUGCAUAUCUUGGCAUGAAUGUGUUAGUCUGAAUAAAUUUUUCUUUUUAUAAAGCUUAAAUACAUGCAUUCAGUCUUCUAAUUGUCUGCAUGUAGUAUAAAUGAAAUGCCCCACUCAGUUUGUAGACUAACAUAGUAAUGGAAUGGAAUGGUUUCAGUUUAAAACUGCAUUGGAAUCAUUGAAAGGUUUUAGUGAGGAAACAUAGAGUAGGUUUUAUUGCAGCACCUGAAAACACACACCAGCACCAACUUUACUUGUCUACAGUAGUGUAAAUACUGUACCGUGCAUUGCCUUAUAUUGGUUUAUUGAAAUUCCCCAAAAUAUUUUUAUAUACAUAGAGUUCAGGAAAUUGUAUGUGACAGAAAAGAGAAAUUUGUGUUUGUGCAUGUUGGGGGUGGGGUGGGCAGAUGUGGCUUUCUGGUCUUCAUCUCCUCCGUUUCGGUGUCACCUUUGUUGACUUUGUCUCUCUCCUUCUGCAACGCUGUGCUCUCUGCUUUAAUGACGCAUAUAUCCUAUCUCCAGUCACCGCCUAAUCCCAGCAGCGCUGGCUCAGGAACAGAUUACUGCUUCCAGACACCAGAGGAGAGAAGUGCAGGGCAAGGUGGGGGCUGUAGGGUAGAAAUAGAUGCUUUACUGAUACAAUAUACAGAGAUCAAAACCGUCAGCACAUGCACAUGGAUGAGCACAAACACGCAUGUACAUCAUCAUAUUUAUGGGAGGAACCAAGAUGUUUAUCCACAGUGAAUCAUUGUCUGCCUUUAUUUUAUUAUUUAUAUCACAUGCUCAUCUUUGCUUUAAGUUUGGUCUAGAUGCACAACGUGUGACUAAAACAAUUACUCUAAAACAAUGUGAUUUACAGUGGGAGGUUUUUUAACCUGUAUAUUGAAUCUAAUAGAAGAUGAGAUAUGUACUGUAAUACCAGUGAGUUAUAAAAUCAUACUAACAAUUGUUCUACUAUCUCCAAUAUUCAGCUUGCUACUUGUGGAUUAUUCAUUGUGGCUGCCUCAGUAAGCAACUACACUGCUCCUAAUGGCUUGGACUUUAUCCCUUAGCAGUUUUACAUGGCUAAAUACACUGCUAGGUUCAGUCACGUGCUUCAAUAUGCAAGCUGGAAAUUAAAAAUUGUAGACAUGAUACAAACAAAUUCUAGAUAAGUAUGUCUCCAUCUGGACCUGUUGGUAAUUAGAGCAGAUUGCAGACUCCACUGUUUAGGUAAGAGGGUGUGCUGUGGUGGCCUCUGUCCAGCAGCUGCUGUCGUGCCGGCUACCAUCCCAACAACAUGACUUUUAGCACCAAAUGAUGGCCAAUAAAACAUUUGAUUGAGAAGCGAAGAGAGUGAGAACCAUAAACAGGCUGGAUUCUGCCCUUUAAUUUCACCAUCUCCAGAGAAUUGGUUUUGUUGUGCUGCAGUGUAGAUCCCACACACAAGCAGUUUAGUUGUCUGCCCAAGGACUGAAAUUUAAUUUAGAGUGCGUGUGUUUGUGUGUAUGUGUGUGUGUGCAUGUCAGUCAGUCAGUCCGACUGUCUUUGUCUGUGCUUGUGUGUCUGUCUGCAUAAGUCAGUUUGGAAUCCCUCUGUGUGCAGAAACUAGCAUUGCAUGAACUGCAUUUGUGAGCGUUUGUGAUGUGCAUGCUGUAUUUUGUGUUCUCCUAUUCUCCAGUGAUUUAAUCGUUUUACACUGCCAAGUUGUUACGCUACCAUUUUACACUGUCUGCUGGUACUAAGGAGUGUAUUUGCUCUGUGUGCUCUACUGUUUCGGGAUUUGAAUUACUUCUUGUGUAGUAUUGCAGCUGAUGUGACAUCGUUGUGUUAACCUCAAAACCCCAGAAUACCCCCAGUUACUCUUCUGGCAUCGUUGUUUCCGAGUCAAAAACAUUUUGGCAAUAAUCUUCUGUUGAGAAUAUGUUGAUUGCAGGUUUAAAAUGUACAGCGGCUUCUGAUCAUGGCUAGUUCUCUAACAGUUGCUUGUGUGUAUGUGUUUAUAGCGCAGGUUCCUGAUGAAAGCCUAGAGCAGAGGCAUAUAUCAGAGCUCCAGCACUAAUAAAAGGCCAGCAAGCUGUGCUCCUCUCCUUCUGGGAACAGCACCGCUUUUUACUGCUUCUCUGACAGCAAGAUAAAGUGCCCUUCCAAUUAGAAAAAUAUUUGGCCACAUACCUACCAACAGCGAUCCUGGGUUUUUAUUUUUCGUGCCAUUUGAUCAGGAAUUCUUGCUAUUUUACAGUGUGCUUUCUCAUCAUCAUGUCCUGGGUAUGCAAAUGUUAAUGUGCACCCCGCCAGUGCACUAUAUCGCUGUAAAUUGCAAUAAUAGUGGUUUUAUUUUGGUGUCUCUUCCUUUAUUUUGCCCUUUCUUUUGUAGGUGUAAGGCUGCACACAGUUAUGCACUGAUCCGGUUUUGGCGGUGCUUCAGCGUUUUGCACAAGAGGAUUUACGCUCCUGUGUGUUUGGGUUGAUGUCAUUCUUGUUGCCCCAGUCAUUCAUUUCUGCCUCACACAGAGAUGUAUGCAUAUAUACUUAACCGCUGAUGCUGGUCUCCAUCUCGCUAGAAUACUGUAGAUCUUCUUUGCCUUUUUUUUCCAGAGAGUGCAUUAAAAUUAAAUUCUCUCUUGUUGUUGUGAAAAGAGGCACACGUAAAAAAUAAUUGGCUGCAGGAGAGAACAAAGGGCUGGCUCCUCUCUCUUCCCUGCACACCCCAGCCAGGCAUUAAUACCAAGCUUGCUGCAUUGUUCUGCUGUCUGCAGCCAUCCCCCUAGCCAGACACUCAGCCCUGGAGAAGUCACUUUUAAUGUCUGAUAAUCAAGGUGAAUUUUCAAAAAGCUGCCAUUUUCAAAUGAUGGUGUAUAUAUUAUGUGUAGAUGGGAGUUCAGGAGCAGAGGCGCUUGGCUGGGUGAGAGAGAACACUGGCACCAUGUGAAGUGAAAGAGAGGCACCUAACGGCCAGAGAGGGAACUGCAGGGGGGCUUUUACCUUUAAUCACAAAUCCAUGAAGGAUGGAAGGCAGCUGGAUUAUCCGUGUUAUUGAUUAAACUGGACUGAUAAUUGUGUGUGUUUCUCAUUAACUUACUUUUCUGAGCCUUAGCUAGCCAUAAAGGAUGUCUUCCAGAAUGGCUGGACGUGCACGGGGCUCUUCUAGAGUGCAAACACUGCCUGCUGCGGCCCCUUGCUGAAGGGGAGCUCCUAUUUGGCAGUAUUAUUGGGGAGCUGGGCAGCCAGCAGCCAAGCAGUGGAGUGGAUUUCCAUGCUACAGGGCACAGACUCAUCUUCCCCUCGCUCCUCCCAUGUCCCCGCUUCCCCCACCACUAGGCCUCGAAGCAGUGUGCCCAAGGCAUCCAGGAGUAGAGUGUACAUCAUGCAAAGGUGUGUCAGCCCAGUACAGAGAUCCAGAUUCCAACAAACCCAAAAACAACUAGCAGGACCUUCAGGAAGCAGGGGAUAAUCUACAGGUGGACCAUCACAGGCAGCGGUACAUGACCUGCAGGCUGUUCACCAUGGAGAGGGAGAUGGGAGCAGCUGGAGCAUUUGAUCCGUGUGGUACAUGAACAACUGCACUUGACAGAUGGUUCUGGUUGAAAACCCUGCGCGCUGUGACAGCUACACGCAGAUGGAGGUGCAGGGUGGAGGGCUCCUCCACUGAUACAACCCAGAGGGACUGGGCACGGCCUCACUCAGGCGGAUUUGAACCAAAACUAAAUGAUUGGAUUGAACAAACAGAACUUGCUGCUUGCUGGUGGCCUGGUAGCUCAGUGGGGAGAACCCACUGGCCCUGAAAGCAGGAGGUCCCAGGUUCAAGCCCACUAGGGCUCCAGGUGUGUCCUCCACCAACCCUGGGCGCCUUGGGAGCCCACUGCUCCUCCAGGAGAUGGAUUAAAUGCAGAGGACCAAUUUUGAUGUGAUGUUGAUGUGAAGCAUUAAUCUUAUUAUUCAUCAUUUUAUUGAACUGUGUUCUCACCAGGAGGGCCGCACCAAAGUUUCGCUAGAUGAUGCGGAUCGAGAUCACCUCAUUUUGGGGGUCCCGUGUGGUUCUUUUGGUGAGCACUCGAGUGCCAGUCACACCAGACAAAACAAACCACACCAAGAGGGAAAAAGAACUUGAGUUUGAUUGAAUUGAACUAAAUCGUGUGGGUGUGAAGGGACCUUCAGACUAGUCUAUGUCUGGAAGUCAAAUCACUGUAGCUUGUCCAGCGUGUUAGUAAUUUAUGGAUGUUUUGUUCCAUCUGCAGCGGAGAGGGAGGAGCAGCAGGAGAGAGGGAUGAUCAAAGUACAAGCUACCAGCACAUAAUCACACGCUACUGUAUAUCAACAAGACUUCAGUGACACGGCAGCUGACGGAGACGCCACCGGGAGGUGAAUUUGGACAGAGCUCUGACAGGACAAGCACAAACUCUUUGAAUACAAGAAGAGCUCUGAUUAGUAAAGCAGGCCACAAAAGGGGAGAAGAGUCACUGGCAGCCUCUCCCCGUAGAGAAGUCCUCCUGCAAGCAGUGCCACCUACUGCAUCCAGCCCUGGGACGUCACUCUCAGUGAAACUCAUCCCAUCCUCCGUACAUCUGGCUCCUACGAGGUCUCAGAGAGCAUCUGGAUAUUAUUCUGCGAGGACGCAAUGGAGCAGGUGUCCAGUGGCUGAAUGGUAGUAGGCACCGGAGGCAGGAGACAGACUAGCUUCAGCAGCUCAAUGUGAAAAUGAAAGCAGUGUUGGGACGCAACGCAGAGCCCGACGCCUCUGACAGCACAAUCUAUCAUCUUUAAUUACAGCGGCGUGACGCCCCGACACUGCCCACGCUUCCCUCAUCUCUCCUUCCUUCUGCCUCACACGCACAAACCUGCAGCAAUUACAGCCAUCAGGCCAUAACCCCUUUCUGUCAGUGUCCCCCUCUGCCUCCCUGUUCAGUUCAGGAGAAAGUGUUGAGCCUCACUCUGGUUUUAAAUGCAACAAAUGACUUUCACUUAGCAAAUCUUGCUACCGUUACAAAUUAAAAUGUUUCUUCCCCAAAAAACAGACUUGAGUGCAUCCAUCAGGUAGGCUCAAAACAGAGACUAGCAAAACCAUGACCCCACAACUGCAAUAUAAACUCACAAUGUGAUGGAUUACCAAACUCCAGCAAGCCACUGCACCCCGCUAAUUGAUUUGACAGCCCAUAUGGAGAUGAACAGAAACCUGAGGCUGUGCUGCGACAAAUACAGGACUUCCAUGCAUCUGCAGCCUACAGCUGAAAAUGGUCCACAAAUAUGGGAAGCACAGCUGUUAUUUCGAGCUUCGGCAUAAUUAAUAUGCAGCCGCCAAAGUUGUUGAUUCUGAAAAAUCAAGAGUACGGCUUUGACACCAACAGGUCUGCAUCUAAGAGUGCGUUUAACAUGUGUAAAUAUCAAAUGGCAUCAUAAAAUUGUUUUGUUUUGUCCAACUUGCUCUGUAAAAGACAAUAAAUGGCACUACCUUUUUAAAAGCUU